RNAcentral lists this ribosomal RNA (320 nucleotides) under Mesorhizobium sp. RNAcentral describes it as "bacterial SSU rRNA". It matches the Rfam family "Bacterial small subunit ribosomal RNA", at positions 112 to 449 of the family's 1533-position model. Lineage: Bacteria; Pseudomonadati; Pseudomonadota; Alphaproteobacteria; Hyphomicrobiales; Phyllobacteriaceae. The record is from RNAcentral.
AACGAGUGGGAAUCUACCCAUCUAUACGGAACAACUCCGGGAAAGUGGAGCUAAUACCGUAUACGUCCUUCGGGAGAAAGAUUUAUCGGAGAUGGAUGAGCCCGCGUUGGAUUAGCUAGUUGGUGGGGUAAUGGCCUACCAAGGGGACGAUCCAUAGAUGGUCUGAGAGGAUGAUCAGCCACACUGGGACUGAGACACGGCCCAGACUCCUACGGGAGGCAGCAGUGGGGAAUAUUGGACAAUGGGCGAAAGCCUGAUCCAGCCAUGCCGCGUGAGUGAUGAAGGCCCUAGGGUUGUAAAGCUCUUUCAUACAGGGUGGA